GACGAACGCUGGCGGCGUGCCUAACACAUGCAAGUCGAACGGAGCACCUGAAACUGCGACUUCGGUCAAAGUUUCAGACUGCUUAGUGGCGGACGGGUGAGUAACGCGUGAGUAACCUGCCGAGAAGAGGGGAACAACACAUCGAAAGGUGUGCUAAUACCGCAUAUUGCCAAAGUAUCGCAUGAUGCUUUGGUGAAAGAUUUAUCGCUUCUUGAUGGACUCGCGUCUGAUUAGAUAGUUGGUGAGGUAACGACUCACCAAGUCGACGAUCAGUAGCCGGACUGAGAGGUUGAACGGCCACAUUGGGACUGAGAUACGGCCCAGACUCCUACGGGAGGCAGCAGUGGGGAAUAUUGCGCAAUGGGGGAAACCCUGACGCAGCAACGCCGCGUGAAGGAUGAAGGUCUUCGGAUUGUAAACUUUUGUCUUUGGUGAAGAUAAUGACGGUAGCCAAGGAGGAAGCCACGGCUAACUACGUGCCAGCAGCCGC
This 490-nucleotide ribosomal RNA is filed under the name uncultured bacterium. Its description in RNAcentral is "bacterial SSU rRNA". It matches the Rfam family "Bacterial small subunit ribosomal RNA", at positions 28 to 518 of the family's 1533-position model. The record is from RNAcentral.